RNA transcript from Mytilus trossulus (common blue mussel), 2369 nucleotides. It is a transcript of the gene named peptidyl-prolyl cis-trans isomerase FKBP4-like, with no coding region annotated. The transcript has 9 exons. The record is from RefSeq and is a predicted model, not a curated record. Lineage: Eukaryota; Metazoa; Mollusca; Bivalvia; Mytilida; Mytilidae.
GGCUUCUUUGACAUAGAUUUGAGAGUGAUCCGAAAAUUCUGGAAAAGAAAGCGGUACCAGCAUCUUUUUCCUUAUUUUAAUCUGUUACCUCAGCCAGACACUGCAUUACUCUUAACAAAAAAUGCCAGAAGAAAACACUAAAGAGGAGUUCCCAAAGAUUGAUGUUUCACUAGAGCAGGAUGGAGGCAUUUUGAAGCAAAUAUUACAUGAAGGAGAGGGUGAAGAGAAACCACUCAACGGUGAUACAGUGUCAGUUCAUUAUGUUGGUUGUUUAGAUGACGGGACAGAGUUUGAUUCAAGUCGUGAAAGAGGAGAACGAUUUACAUUUGAACUUGGAAAGGGUGCAGUAAUUAAAGCAUGGGAUCAAGGUGUCGCCACAAUGAAAAAGGGGGAGAUUGCACGCUUAACCUGUAAACCAGAAUAUGCUUAUGGAGAGACUGGUUCCCUUCCUAAAAUACCAGCAAAUGCUACAUUAGUAUUUGAAGUGGAGCUGUUUGAUUGGAAAGGUGAAGAUGUAUCAGAGGACAAAGAUGGUUCUAUCAUCAGGAGUGUUAUAAAGAAGGGAGAAAAAUAUAGUAAUCCUAAUGAUGGGGCAACUGUCAAAGUAAAAUAUACAGCAUCGUACAAUGACAAUGUGUUUGAGAAAGAGAGGGAGUUGGAAUUCAUUGUUGGAGAGGGAGAUGAGCAAGGGAUAAUUCCUGGUUUAGAACAAGCUGUCAAGAAAAUGAAACAGCAUGAGAAAUCCAAAUUUGAUAUCAAGCCCUCACAAGGUUAUGGUGCCAAGGGAAAUACCGAGUUUAACAUCCCAGGGGACGCAGCUCUAGUGUAUGAAGUUGAACUGUUAAGCUUUGAAAAGGAGAAACAACCUUGGGAACUAGAUACGUACGGACGAUCGGAUAUUGCUGAACAAGCCAAAAAUAAAGGAAAUAAAUAUGUCAAGAAAGAGAACUACAGCAAGGCAAAGCAGUUCUAUAAAAAAGUGAAGAAAUAUUUAGAAUAUGAAACCGAUUUACAAGAAGAAAAUAAAGAGAAAAGGAAUAGUUUAAUGUUAGCUACUCAUCUGAACAUUGCCAUGUGUGAACUCAAGGUGGGAGAUUUCUCUGAAGCUAGAGAAGAAUGCAAUAAAGCUUUAGAGAUAGACCCUAAAAGUGUCAAGGCAUACUUUAGGAGGGCUACGGCCUAUUUUCAAGUUCAUGAUCAUGAAUCAGCUAAAGCAGAUUAUGAGAAAGUCUUGGAACUUGAACCAGAAAACAAAGCAGCCAAAAAUCAAAUAGUUAUUUGUGAACAAAAACUGAAGCAGUUCAGGGAAAAAGAAAAACAUAUUUAUGCUGGAAUGUUUAAUAAAUUUGCUGAACGUGAUUCACGCCAUCCAUACUCUGGCUAUGAAGACGGGCUGGAAAGCAUUGGGGAAUGGCACAAUGAAAUGGCCGAUGGUAUGAUGACUCUUCAGCAAGAGUGUGAGGCAUUCGGUGAAACAAUGCCUGAACCUAAAACCAACAAUCAUGGCAGGAAACAUCAGGAAGAUGAUUGACAGGCAGGCUACAAGAUAUGACACUGGUAUUAUAAAUGGUCUGGUUGACAGGCUACAAGAUAUGACAAUGGUGAAAGUUUCAGAUGAAUCCAAGACAACCAAACAGUCGGAUUCUAAACCAGAAGAAAGUGCCCCAAUGGAAACAAGUUAAAAUGGUGGAGGAUUUUAUUUACUUUUAUAAUUAUUAUUGUUGAUUUAAUUGUAAUCUGUGUACUGCCAUUUUGUUUUUGAGAUACAAUUUUGUUCUUGAGCUACAGUAUGUAUUUUUGUUAAUAAUAAAAUGUGCCAUGAGUAUAGUAAUUUUUUAACAUUGAAACAUUUGUAUGUAAAUCAUUUAUACAUCUAAUUUUUGUUGAACAAAAAAGACAUAGAUAUACAAAAUGUAUAUGACCUUGCUAUUCUUUAUUCAGUUUGUAUAACAAACUUCAUACUUAAUAUACUAUGUGUUAUCUUACAUGUAUAUCAUAUCUUUGUAUACCAUAUUAGACAAAAGUUAUAUGUAUACAUAAGUUCCAACAGUAUAUUACAUAUGGUUUACACAACUCUAAGUUACAGUUAUGAUUAUACUUUGAACAUCAUUCUUUAUAUUCAUAUGUAAAUUUUUCAGUAUUUUUUUGAUAGAAUUUGCAAUAUUUGCUGUAUUAGAAAGAAAUCCUCUUAUUGUAAUUUAAACUGACCAAAAUCUCCAUGUUCCCCAUCCAAUUCAAACAAGGUACAACAAAUAUUUAAUACAAAUUUUUGCCCACUAUUCAAACAUAUUUUUUUUAUUUUACAUACUGUAUUUGUUGAGACAUAAUUAUAAUGGUUAUUCCCCCUUUUUUAGCUCACCUGGCCCGAA